GUAGGGAAUCUUGCGCAAUGGGCGAAAGCCUGACGCAGCCAUGCCGCGUGAAUGAUGAAGGUCUUAGGAUUGUAAAAUUCUUUCACCGGGGACGAUAAUGACGGUACCCGGAGAAGAAGCCCCGGCUAACUUCGUGCCAGCAGCCGCGGUAAUACGAAGGGGGCUAGCGUUGCUCGGAAUUACUGGGCGUAAAGGGAGCGUAGGCGGAUAGUUUAGUCAGAGGUGAAAGCCCAGGGCUCAACCUUGGAAUUGCCUUUGAUACUGGCUAUCUUGAGUAUGGAAGAGGUAUGUGGAACUCCGAGUGUAGAGGUGAAAUUCGUAGAUAUUCGGAAGAACACCAGUGGCGAAGGCGACAUACUGGUCCAUUACUGACGCUGAGGCUCGAAAGCGUGGGGAGCAAACAGGAUUAGAAACCCGUGUAGUCC
RNAcentral lists this ribosomal RNA (425 nucleotides) under uncultured bacterium. RNAcentral describes it as "partial 16S ribosomal RNA". It matches the Rfam family "Bacterial small subunit ribosomal RNA", at positions 354 to 796 of the family's 1533-position model. The record is from RNAcentral.